CAGCAGUAGCCACGGUAAUACAGAGGGUGCAAGCGUUAAUCGGAAUUACUGGGCGUAAAGCGCGCGUAGGUGGUUUGUUAAGUUGGAUGUGAAAGCCCCGGGCUCAACCUGGGAACUGCAUCCAAAACUGGCAAGCUAGAGUACGGUAGAGGGUGGUGGAAUUUCCUGUGUAGCGGUGAAAUGCGUAGAUAUAGGAAGGAACACCAGUGGCGAAGGCGACCACCUGGACUGAUACUGACACUGAGGUGCGAAAGCGUGGGGAGCAAACAGGAUUAGAUACCCCCGUAGUCCCUGUCUCUUAUAC
RNAcentral lists this ribosomal RNA (304 nucleotides) under uncultured bacterium. Its description in RNAcentral is "partial 16S ribosomal RNA". It matches the Rfam family "Bacterial small subunit ribosomal RNA", at positions 506 to 807 of the family's 1533-position model. The record is from RNAcentral.